This 120-nucleotide small RNA is filed under the name unclassified sequences. RNAcentral describes it as "LOOT RNA". It matches the Rfam family "LOOT RNA". From Rfam's summary of the family: Latescibacteria, OD1/Parcubacteria, OP11, TM7. Lineage (Microgenomates, aka OP11) The record is from Rfam by way of RNAcentral.
UGCCUAACCCCUAUGUGAAAGCGUAGGGUAUGGCAUAAAAGCGCUAUGAACAUAAAGAUCCCAUCAUCAGGGACGUUCAUAGCGUCAUACAGGGAAACCUGUGUGUAAGUCGCAAGGCUU